UCGACCAAGAGAUCGGAUAACACCUGGAAACAGAUGCUAAUACCGGAUAACAACAGAUGAUGCCUAUCAACUGUUUAAAAGAUGGUUCUGCUAUCACUCUUGGAUGGACCUGCGGUGCAUUAGCUAGUUGGUAGGGUAACGGCCUACCAAGGCGAUGAUGCAUAGCCGAGUUGAGAGACUGAUCGGCCACAUUGGGACUGAGACACGGCCCAAACUCCUACGGGAGGCAGCAGUG
RNAcentral lists this ribosomal RNA (235 nucleotides) under uncultured Lactobacillus sp. RNAcentral's name for it is "partial 16S ribosomal RNA". It matches the Rfam family "Bacterial small subunit ribosomal RNA", at positions 126 to 356 of the family's 1533-position model. Lineage: Bacteria; Bacillati; Bacillota; Bacilli; Lactobacillales; Lactobacillaceae. The record is from RNAcentral.